GAUGAACGCUGGCGGCGUGCCUAACACAUGCAAGUCGAGCGAACAGACCAGGAGCUUGCUCCUCUCACGUUAGCGGCGCACGUGUGAGUAACACGCGGAUACCCUACCUGUAAGACUGGUAUAACCUCGGGACUCCGGAUCUAAUCCCCUAUAAUCUACUGAACCGCCUGGUUCCUUAGUCAACGACGGCUUUGCUGUCACUUUUCGCUGGAUCCGCGCCGCAUUAGCUAGUUGGUAAGUUAACCGCUUACCAAGGCAACGAUGCGUAGCCGACCUGAGCGAGUGAUCGGCCACACUGGAACUGAGACACGGUCCAGACUCCUACGGGAGGCAGCAGUAGCGAAUCUUCCGCAAUGGGCGAAAGCCUGACGGAGCAACGCCGCGUGAGUGAUGGAGGUCUUCGGAUCGUAAAACUCUGUUAUUAGGGGAAAACAAAUGUGUAAGUAACUAUGCACGUCUUGACGGUACCUAAUCAGAAAGCCACGGCUAACUACGUG
RNAcentral lists this ribosomal RNA (497 nucleotides) under uncultured bacterium. RNAcentral describes it as "partial 16S ribosomal RNA". It matches the Rfam family "Bacterial small subunit ribosomal RNA", at positions 28 to 507 of the family's 1533-position model. The record is from RNAcentral.